CUGCUCCCUUUGGCAGCACAUAUGUUAAAUUUGAAUUAUAUAGAGAUUAGCAUGACCUCUUAGAAGGAUGACUUGAAAAUUCAUGAAGCAUUCCAUAUUUUU
This 102-nucleotide small nuclear RNA is filed under the name Nannospalax galili (Upper Galilee mountains blind mole rat). The record is from RNAcentral. Lineage: Eukaryota; Metazoa; Chordata; Mammalia; Rodentia; Spalacidae.